UAGCCAUGCGAGUUAAAUGUUCUUCGUGAACAUAGCAGACUGCUCAGUAACACGUGGAUAACCUGCCCUUAGGACUGGCAUAACCCCGGGAAACUGGGGAUAAUUCCGGAUAGAUCAUAAAUGCUGGAAUGCUUUAUGAUUGAAAGGUUUCGACCGCCUUAGGAUGGAUCUGCGGCCUAUCAGGUUGUAGUGGGUGUAAUGUACCUACUAGCCUACGACGGGUACGGGUUGUGGAAGCAAGAGCCCGGAGAUGGAUUCUGAGACAUGAAUCCAGGCCCUACGGGGCGCAGCAGGCGCGAAAACUUUACAAUGCGGGAAACCGUGAUAAGGGAACACUGAGUGCUAGCAUUUAUGUUAGCUGUCCACAUGUGUAAAUAGCAUGUGAUAGCAAGGGCUGGGCAAGACCGGUGCCAGCCGCCGCGGUAACACCGGCAGCCCGAGUGGUGAUCACUAUUAUUGGGUCUAAAGGGUCCGUAGCCGGUUUAAUCAGUCUUCUGGGAAAUCUAAUCGCUUAACUAUUAGGCUUCCAGGGGAUACUGUUAGACUUGGGACCGGGAGAGGUAAGAGGUACUGCAGGGGUAGGAGUGAAAUCUUGUAAUCCCUGUGAGACCACCAGUGGCGAAGGCGUCUUACCAGAACGGGUCCGACGGUGAGGGACGAAAGCUGGGGGCACGAACCGGAUUAGAUACCCGGGUAGUCCCAGCUGUAAACGAUGCUCGUUAGGUGUCAGGAACGGUGCGACUGUUUCUGGUGCCG
Molecule: ribosomal RNA, 756 nt
Filed under: uncultured archaeon
Lineage: Archaea
Description: bacterial SSU rRNA
Rfam family: Archaeal small subunit ribosomal RNA
Source: RNAcentral